AUCAGACACGAAGGAGAGGCCAACAGAUGAGGGAAGCCAUUUUUCUGCAAUGGAAUUAAAUGGCCAAGCCCAAGGACUCACAGUUGGAAGACUGGAGAAGACUUUUUAAAAAGAUCUGGAUUUUUCCUUAUGACUUGGAAUCCAUCUUUGUCUUGUAUAACUAGGUCAUAGCACACCAUUCAUGUCAGCAGUUAACAGUUUUGAAUUCCAAAAAAACCUAAAGCAGUAAACAGUCCUCAGCGAAGCCGCCUUUUUGCCUACCCAACCCUGGAAAGUUUGCAGAAGUGGAAGGAGCAGAACGUGAGGGUGUAACUUACAAAAAGGUUCUGGGCCGGAGAAGGGGCGACGUUCGGGCACCCCCCGAAUGGACAAUCUUUCCUUCUGUCAACGGCAGGGGCAGGCCUAGUUUGACUCUGACAGUCCUCCCACUAAGCUUCUGUUGUCAGGCAUUUGGGGCGUGUAAGUCUCUGCCGAAUAUAGCAGCAUACGAGAGGAUCCACUUGCAAGUAUUUCCCAGUUGUGUGUUCUUCGGCGGGGGGAGGGCCCUGGGUGCCGCCUACUUCUGAAAGACACAGGUCACUGUCAGAAAGCCCAACUGUGCUGUGGCCUUCCCUCCAGCCGCCCCCGUGGGGCAUGUGGGGUGACAGUGUGAGCCGUCCUCUGAUGUCUGGCUGCUAGAGAGGCAAAGAACAGAGACCCGAGGUUCCGGCCACCUUUCUCUAUGAAAGGGCCUUCCUUGACGCUUCUCCACCUUCCUGGGAUUGUUUUCUUCUCCAGUCCCCGAAUGGGCAGGCCUGUAUAUAAGCCUUGUUUCUAGAACCAGACAAAGCUGGAUUUGAAACCUGGCGAGCCAUUGAACAGCUAUGGCCUUGCGUAAGCGGUAUAGCCUCCAAGCCUAUUUCUCCAUCUCCGAAAACAGGGCUAGAUCAGUGGUUCUUAGUCUGGAACCGGCAUCAGAAUCACACCGGAAGGGGGGCUCACUGAAAAUGGACCACCGGGCCUGGUGCCCAAGUGUCUGAUUCAGUGGGUUGGUCCUUAGGACUGGCAUUUCUAACAAGUUCCCAGGUGAGGUGAGGCUGAUGCUGUGGUCUGGGAACACAUUUUGAGACUCCAGCCCCUAGCCUGGUAACACCUGGG
Molecule: long non-coding RNA, 1137 nt
Filed under: Homo sapiens (human)
Lineage: Eukaryota; Metazoa; Chordata; Mammalia; Primates; Hominidae
Description: HSALNT0371057
Source: RNAcentral